Molecule: ribosomal RNA, 253 nt
Filed under: uncultured bacterium
Lineage: Bacteria
Description: partial 16S ribosomal RNA
Rfam family: Bacterial small subunit ribosomal RNA
Source: RNAcentral
UACGUAGGGGGCAAGCGUUGUCCGGAUUUAUUGGGCGUAAAGAGCGUGUAGGCGGCUUUACAGGUCCGUUGUGAAAACUCGAGGCUCAACCUCGAGACGCCGGUGGAAACCGUAAAGCUAGAGUCCGGAAGAGGAGAGUGGAAUUCCUGGUGUAGCGGUGAAAUGCGCAGAUAUCAGGAGGAACACCGGUGGCGAAGGCGGUGAUCUGGGCCGACACUGACGCUGUAGAGCGAAAGCGUGGGGAGCGAACAGG